This 324-nucleotide ribosomal RNA is filed under the name uncultured eukaryote. Its description in RNAcentral is "partial 18S ribosomal RNA". It matches the Rfam family "Eukaryotic small subunit ribosomal RNA", at positions 1470 to 1796 of the family's 1831-position model. The record is from RNAcentral.
CCCUUAGAUGUUCUGGGCUGCACGCGCGCUACACUGAAGCUAUCAACACGUCUUCCCUCCCUGAGAAGGGCGGGUAACCUUUUGAAUCAGCUUCGUGGUAGGGAUCGGGGCUUGCAAUUGUUCCCCGUGAACCAGGAAUUCCUAGUAGACGCGAGUCAUAAGCUCGCAUCGAUUAAGUCCCUGCCCUUUGUACACACCGCCCGUCGCUACUACCGAUUGAACGUUUUAGUGAGGCAUUUGGACCGACGCAUCUCAGUUUAACCGCUGGUUUGUGUUGGAAAGACUUCCAAACUUGAGCGUUUAGAGGAAGUAAAAGUCGUAACA